This 468-nucleotide ribosomal RNA is filed under the name uncultured bacterium. Its description in RNAcentral is "partial 16S ribosomal RNA". It matches the Rfam family "Bacterial small subunit ribosomal RNA", at positions 28 to 507 of the family's 1533-position model. The record is from RNAcentral.
GACGAACGCUGGCGGCGUGCUUAACACAUGCAAGUCGAACGGAACGGCCCUGUCUUUGUGCGCUCCUCGAGUUGCGAACGGGUGAGUAACCCGUGAGUAACCUGUCCUUGCCUUUGGGAUAACUUCAUGAAACUUGGGCUAUUCCCGCCUAGGAUCUCCUGCUGCAUGGUGGGGGCUGGAAAGUUUCGCCGGUUGGGGAUGGACUCGCGGCCUAUCAGCUUGUUGGUGGGGUAGUGGCUUACCAAGGCUAUGACGGGUAGCCGGCCUGGGAGGGGGACCGGCCAAGUUGGAACUGAGAUAAGGCCCAGACUCGAACGGGAGGCAGGAGUGGAGAGGGGUACACAAGAGGCGGGAGGCUGAUGCGGCAACGCCGCGUGCGGGAAGACGGCCUUCGGGUUGGAAACCGAUUUCGCCUGAGACGGGACGUGAAUGACGGUAAUGGGUAAAGAAGCACCGGCUAACUACGUG